Tupaia belangeri chinensis (Chinese tree shrew) is the source of this 624-nucleotide long non-coding RNA. RefSeq lists it as uncharacterized. NCBI's taxonomy places the organism in Eukaryota, Metazoa, Chordata, Mammalia, Scandentia, Tupaiidae. The transcript is spliced from 4 exons. The record is from RefSeq and is a predicted model, not a curated record.
AUCGCCCACAAGGUUCUCAUAGAUGUGCUCGCCCCCAGUCCGAAGCCCAAGUGCAGAAACGAGCCGGGAAAGACGGAAAGCUGAGCAUGCUCAGUGGCCAGAGACAAGUCUGGUCGGAAACUAGAUUUUGUUCGGACUCUCUGGGCUCUCCUGUCAGUUACAGGACCUGGUCCCCGUGUGAAGUCACCUGGACUUUGAACCUCCUCCCAGUCAUUCUUACCUUCCAGAAACAUAUACUAAGCCCAUUCGCUGCCCUCCAUCAUGGAAAACUGUGAUUCCAGACAGACAUGUCUGGAAAGAUAGAGAAAGUAAAUUUGACCCAUUCCAUCUCCUUUUGGAAGACUAUUGCAACCAGGGAGUGCCACAGUUAAAUGUACCAGCAGAAGAAAGCGGAAAAAGGAUUCAAGACCCUCCACAGGCAGGGUUUGGAGCACGCUGUGACUUUGUUGGGAAUAAUAAACAAGUUGCCUUCCAAGAGUGGGUCGAGGUGUUAUUUUUAUUCCCCCUGACUAUUUACCUGAUCACUGACACUCUCUGAGGAAGGAAGCUGGUGUGUGUAUGUGUGUAUAUACACCAAAGAGAAGGAAGUGAAAAAUAUACCAAGGACACAGCCACAGAAGUCAC